This 439-nucleotide ribosomal RNA is filed under the name uncultured bacterium. Its description in RNAcentral is "partial 16S ribosomal RNA". It matches the Rfam family "Bacterial small subunit ribosomal RNA", at positions 338 to 795 of the family's 1533-position model. The record is from RNAcentral.
CCUACGGGUGGCAGCAGUAGGGAAUAUUGCUCAAUGGGGGAAACCCUGAAGCAGCAACGCCGCGUGGAGGAUGAAGGUUUUCGGAUUGUAAACUCCUUUUGUUAGAGAAGAUAAUGACGGUCUCUAACGACUAAGCACCGGCUAACUCCGUGCCCGCAGCCGCGGUACUACGGAGGGUGCCAGCGUUACUCGGAAUCACUGGGCGUAAGAGCGUGUAGGCGGGAUAGCAAGUCAGGAGUGAAAUUCUAAGGGCUAAACAUAAAACUGCAUUUUAAACGGUUGAUCUAGAGUAGGGGAGAGGUAGGUGGAAUUCUUGGUGUAGGGGUAAAAUCCGUAGAGAUCAAGAGGAAUACUCAUUGCGAAGGCGACCUGCUAGAACAUAACUGACGCUGAUGCGCGAAAGCGUGGGGAGCGAACAGGAUUAGAUACCCGGGUAGUC